UACAGAGGGUGCGAGCGUUGUUCGGAAUUAUUGGGCGUAAAGGGCGCGUAGGCGGUGCGGUAAGUCACCUGUGAAAUCUCCUGGCUCAACUGGGAGCUUGCAGGCGAAACUGCCGUGCUGGAGUGUGGGAGAGGUGAGUGGAAUUCCCGGUGUAGCGGUGAAAUGCGUAGAUAUUCGGAAGAACACCAGUGGCGAAGGCGAAUUACUGGACACAUAUUGACGCUGAGGUGCGAAAGCGUGGGGAGCAACAGG
This 252-nucleotide ribosomal RNA is filed under the name uncultured bacterium. Its description in RNAcentral is "partial 16S ribosomal RNA". It matches the Rfam family "Bacterial small subunit ribosomal RNA", at positions 524 to 775 of the family's 1533-position model. The record is from RNAcentral.